This 9676-nucleotide long non-coding RNA is filed under the name Manihot esculenta (cassava). RNAcentral's name for it is "long non-coding RNA (MESC_LNC006878)". Lineage: Eukaryota; Viridiplantae; Streptophyta; Magnoliopsida; Malpighiales; Euphorbiaceae. The record is from RNAcentral.
UUCUAUUCAUUUAUCGGCUACAAUUUAAAUAUAUAAAGCGAUAAUUUCCGAUCACUACCUUUAAACCCGUUUUGUGGCAGUGAUUGAACCCGAUAUUUACAUGUUGGGUCAUGAUAGACCAGGUCUAGAAAAGUUUUUCUCAUCAUCUACAUCUCAUGUAGUAAUUUUUCUGAUGACUGAUUACUUGUUGCAGCAUCGCUACUAUGGAGAAUCAAUGCCUUUUGGAUCUGAAGAGCAGGCAUUUCAAAAUGCUAGUACUCUUGGAUACCUAAGCUCAGAACAAGCUUUAGCAGAUUAUGCACAGGGGAUUGUAGAUGUUAAGAAGAAUCUGUCAGCAGAAAAUUGCCCAUUGCAGUUGGAGCAUCUUAUGGUGGAAGUAAGUUAAUUAAUUAGACUGAAAUUUUAGUUUUUGUAGGGAAAAUUCAAGAUUCAAGACUAAUCUUCUGUUGUUCGUGUAAUUGAUGAUCAGUGCUUGCAUCCUGGUUUCGUCUAAAAUAUCCCCACAUUGUCAUUGGUGCUUUGGCAUCAUCCUCUCCCAUACUCUAUUUCGAUGAUAUUACACCACAAAAUGGAUACCAUGUUGUUGUCUCCAGGGAUUUUUGUAGAAGAUUAAUCAAGCUCCAGUGGUUCAGUUUUAAAUGCUUAUGCAAAUAAUUUACAUUAAUAGCAUUAGUUUGUUAGAUUUCUAUUAUAAGUCUGUUAGCUGUGAAGUUAGUUAGCUUAUUUUUCCCGCCACUAUUAGAUGACGAGCUGGGAUGAUGAGCUGGCAACUCAAUUUUACCUGUAUAAAUACCUCACUUGUAAAUCCUCUCAUCAACGAUUUUGAAUACAAAAGCUUUCUCUUAACAUGGUAUCAGAGCUAUCAAGGCUCCUGAUCCAGAACUUUCUUCAUUGACAGUUAUUUCUUCUUUCUUCUCCCUAAAUUUUUCUGCAAUUUUCUUGAUCUUUUGCAAUUUUCUUGAUCUUCUCCAAUUUUCAUACUAAUUCUACGAAGAUGACUACUAAUCCUACCGUUGAAGUCGCUGAAUCAUCUGAUACAGAUCUAAUUACAUCUAAAUCUGAGAUUGACUUGCUGAAUUCUGAUUCGCCAAGCCAGAUUCUAGUAAGUACUCCUUUGACUGAAUUCAAUUACCUCUCUUGGAAUAGAUCUAUGAUAAUUGCUUUGACUGCAAAAGAUAAAAUAGGAUUCAUAGAUGGAACCUGCAAGAAACCCUCUGCUGAUUCUCCUUUAUUGCCAAAAUGGAAUAGAGCUAAUAAUAUGGUGAUAUCCUGGAUUUUGAAUUGCAUUUCAAAAGAUUUAGUUGAAGCCUUCCUUUUCACUAAAUCUGCCAAACAACUUUGGGAUGAAUUAGAGGAAAGAUUUUCUGAAUGCAAUGGCCCUAUGAUGUACUAAAUCCGUAGGGAAAUUACAAGUUUGACUCAAGAAAACAUGUCCAUAGUCAAGUAUUACACAAAGAUGAAAAGAUUUUGGGAUGAACUUGAUUCUUUGAGAAAAAUUCCUAUUUGUUCAUGUGAUGGUUGUACAUGUGGAAUUACUGCUGCUAUACACAGAAUGGACAAUGAAGAGAAACUCAUGCAGUUUCUUCUUGGACUCAAUGACAGUUAUGACCAUGUAAGGAACCAAAUUUUACUAAUGGAUCCUUUUCCAAGUAUCAACAAAGCUUACAAUAUGGUACUGAAUGUAGAAAAACAGAGAGAGGUAGCACAUGUACCAUUUUUUCAUAAUGAUGUCUCAGUCGCUAUGGCAGUACAGAAUUAUAAGAGAUUUAACAGCAGAGACAACAGAUCAAUGGCUUAUAGAAGCAAUAAUUCAAAGAAAGAAGGUCCGUAUUGUGAUCAUUGCAAGUCAGGAGGCCAUACUAAGGAUUCAUGUUUCAAAUUAAUUGGUUAUCCAGAAUGGUACUGGGAUUUAAAGAAGCAAAGAUCUUCAAACUCACAGGCACAUAAUGUCUCAAAUGUUUUUGCUGAUCUUAACCCGGCUAACACUCCUUUAGAGGCAAAUUUGAAUUUCUCUGCAGGGACUACUGCUACUGCUCCCAGUACACAGAUAUCACAACUGGCUCAAGAAGUCCUUCAAGCAAUACAGCUUCAAAACUUGAUUCCUUCAUCAACUGAUCCUAGUAUGGUCAAUAUUGCAUCAACUUCUAGUUUUGCAGGUAUUUCACCUUGUUUAGUAUCUAAACCUGCUGUUAAUUAUAGUGACAAAGGCUCUUGGAUCUUGGAUUCAGGAGCUACAGACCAUAUAUGCUUCACAUCUUCAUUCUUUGACUUUAUUAAACCAUUGCCUAGACCUAAAUUGCUUAGACUACCUACUGGUAAAAUCAUAGUUGUCACACAUGGAGGCAACAUUACCCUAACUAAGAGGAUUACUUUGUUCAAUACUCUUUACAUUCGAACUUUUCAUUGCAACUUAAUUUCAGUUACCACAUUAACCAGAACCUGUAACAUAGCAGUCAUCAGUCUACCUUACUGUUUUGUAUUGCAGGAUUUGCUGAGUAGUAAGACAUUGGCCAUUGGACUUGUACAAGCAGGACUGUAUAUGAUUGAUCACAAAUCAUUCAGCCUUAAACAAUGUCCCAAUUCUACUGCUUUUCAUGUUUCUUCAAAUUUUAGUUCAAAUAAGUGUUUACUUUGGCAUUCUAGACUAGGGCACUUGUCCUUACCUAGACUUAGACAUGCUGAUGUAAUCUCUAAUGAUGAAAUAAAAGAAUUUUUUUGUCCUAUCUGUCCUUUAUCAAAACAGCAUAGACAACCAUUUCCUACAAGUCAGUCAACUUCCUUGAAUCCCUUUGCCUUAUUACACAUUGACCUGUGCGGACCUUACACAGUCUCCUCCAUAUCAGGUGCCAAGUACAUGCUUACAAUUGUUGAUGACCAAACCAGAUAUACCUGGAUAUAUCUACUUAACACAAAGUUCCAAGUUCCUUCUACCCUUAAUCAUUUUUUUAUUCACAUUAAAACUCAAUUUCAGCAAACAAUCAAAGCAGUAAGAACAGACAAUGGCAGUGAAUUUCUUAAUUCACAGUGCAAACAACUUUUCCUUUCCCUUGGUAUUCUCCAUCAAACUACAUGUGUCUAUACUCCACAACAGAAUGGUGUUGUGGAGAGAAAACAUAAAACUCUUUUAGAAGUAGCUAGAUCUUUGAUGUUUCAUUCAAAACUCCCAAACCAAUUCUGGUCAGAAGCCUUAAUGACAGCCACACACAUAGUUAACAGAACCCCUUCUAUUGUACUUGAUUGGAAAACACCUUUUGAAAAACUAUAUCAAGAACCACCUGAUUUGUCUUACUUCAAAGUAUUUGGAUGUUUAGCCUAUGCUACUAAUACAAAACCACAUAAGACCAAAUUUGAAUCAAGAGCUAUACCUUCUGUGUUUAUUGGUUAUGCAAAAAAUCAAAAGGCUUACAAAUUAUAUGAUAUUCACACCAAACAGUGUUUCUUUUCUAGAGAUGUCAUUUUCCAUGAACAUCAUUUUCCCUUUUCUUUUUCCAAACCCACAGACAUUACUAACUUUGUUCUUCCCAACACAAUAAAUGACAACAUUACAUUUGAAGACACUACUACUAAUACUUUACCUGCCCUUCAACCAACUGCACCAGUCACAGAACCUUCUACCUCUACCCCUUCACAAUUACUUUUCCCUUUAUCAUCUCCUACACAUAUUCAUCAAGACAUUGCAUCUCCCAUUUCACCAUCAUCACCAACUGUUCCUACUCUUAAUAACACUGAACCUACCAUUCCACCCUCACUACCACCUGUUCCUAUUCUUAGACACAGUACUAGACAGCACAAUAGACCUGCUUGGCUAAAAGACUUUGUUGCACAGAUUCAAUCAAAUGGCCAGUCUACUACUUUGCCAAAUUCAUCAGGUAGCUUAACUCCUUUCUUUCCCUCUAUGGACCAUAUAUCCUUCAUAGCAAAUGUUUCUAAGAUUAUAGAGCCUUCUAACUACAAACAAGCAAGUAAGGAUCCUAACUGGGUUAAUGCUAUGCAGCUAGAACUAAAUGCAUUAGAGGCAAAUAAUACUUGGAUACUAACCUCUUUACCUGCAGGAAAGAAAGCAAUAGGAUCCAAAUGGGUAUUUAGGGUCAAAUAUAAACAGGAUGGAUCCUUGGACAGAUAUAAGGCAAGGCUAGUGGCUAAGGGGUUCAACCAAAUGUUGGGAUUAGAUUACACAGAUUCUUUCUCCCCUGUAGCCAAACUAGUCACUGUUAGAGUUCUCUUAACUCUUGUUGCUUCAUCUAAUUGGUUUCUCCACCAAUUAGACAUUAACAAUGCUUAUUUGCAUGGUUACAUUGAAGAGGAUAUUUAUAUGGAGCUGCCUGCAGGAUAUUCAAAAGCUCUCCCAGAUCAGGUAUGCAAACUUUCUCGAUCUUUAUAUGGCCUCAAACAAGCUGGGAGACAAUGGAAUAAAGAACUCACCUCUCACUUACAACAAUUUGGAUUUUCACAGUCUGUUAAUGAUCAUUGUUUGUUUAUGAAAGGUUCAGGUUCUUCCUUUAUGGUAUUAUUAGUAUACGUUGAUGACUUAUUGAUUGCUAGUCCCACUGAAAGUUUGAUUGAGGAGGUUAAACAAUUCCUGCAUCAACAGUUUACCAUAAAGGACCUUGGUCCAGCAACAUACUUUCUUGGUUUAGAAAUUUCUAGAACCAAAGAAGGUAUUGCCUUGACACAACAGAAAUAUAUACAAGAUAUGAUUGUCACUGCUGGAUUACAAGAUGCUACAAUUGUCCAAACACCUUUAAUUCAAGGUUCAAAACUAGUUCCUGAGAAAGGCAUUAUAUUAUCUGACCCUGAGAGUUACAGAAGACUAGUUGGCAAGUUACUGUAUUUAAGCCAUACAAGACCUGACAUCACCUUUGCUGUCCAGCAACUAUCCCAAUUUAUGCAAAACCCUUAUUCUUCUCAUUUGAAAGCUGCUCAACAUGUUUUGAAAUAUCUUAAAGGGUGUCCUACAAUUGGUCUUUUCUUUUCUGCAUCUAACACUAUGAAAUUAACUGCCUUUUGUGAUUCAGAUUGGGCCUCCUGCCCUACUACUAGAAAGUCAAUUUCAGGAUAUUGUGUUUAUUUAGGGUCCUCUCUCAUUUCCUGGAAGUCAAAAAAACAAACCACUGUCAGUAGAUCUUCUGCUGAAGCAGAAUACAGGAGUAUGGCUUUGACGGUUUGUGAACUUUUAUGGUUAUCAUAUUUGCUCAAAGAUUUUCACAUUACAGUUCCUUUGCCUGUUCAUCUUUACUGUGACAAUCUUGCAGCAAUUCAUAUAGCCACUAAUCCUGUUUAUCAUGAAAGGACAAAACACAUAGACAUUGACUGUCAUGUAGUCAGACAACAAAUCACAGCUGGUUUCCUGCAAACACAGCAUAUUAACUCUCCGAAUCAAUUAGCAGACAUCUUUACAAAGUCCGUUCCCUCUCCUCUGUUUCAUUCUCUGUUGUCCAAGCUUCAGUUGGUCUCUUUGGCCCAUCAUCAGCUUGAGGGGGGAGUGUAGAAGAUUAAUCAAGCUCCAGUGGUUCAGUUUUAAAUGCUUAUGCAAAUAAUUUACAUUAAUAGCAUUAGUUUGUUAGAUUUCUAUUAUAAGUCUGUUAGCUGUGAAGUUAGUUAGCUUAUUUUUCCCGCCACUAUUAGAUGACGAGCUGGCAACUCAAUUUUACCUGUAUAAAUACCUCACUUGUAAAUCCUCUCAUCAACGAUUUUGAAUACAAAAGCUUUCUCUUAACAAUUUUAAAGUAAGAAUUCUGUCAAAUAAUAUUGGACAUUUUCAACUUUCAGGAAUUUAGUAACUUGCAGGAUCUAAAUAUCCUAUAUUUGUAUUGUAUGGAUUGGAGCAGAAUGCGAGUGAGAGUUGUUACAACACAAUACAGCAAUCUUGGUCUGAGAUUGAUAGAAUAGCAGCUGAAACAAAUGGGCUAACGACACUUAGCAAUAAGUUCAACACUUGCAGGUAAUCAAUCAACAAGAACACCAACCUCACUACAACACUUGUAUGCUUGUAAUAAUUAUUUGUUACUGUUUUGUUCAACAAAAGUCCUCUGAACACGUCGCAAGAGCUCAAAGACUACCUAGAAAUCAUGUACGUCAGUGCAGCUCAAUUCGACAAUCCUCCAAAUUAUCCAGUAGAGAGAACCUGCAGCGGAAUUGAUGGAGCCCCAGUAAGGAACUGAUAUUCUUGGAAGAAUUGCUGCAGGUCUCAAAAGUAGAUUUCGUGGAUUGGUUUCAUGCUAUGAUGUAUUCACAUUUGAGCUAAGCAACACGAGUGCAUGGGAUUGGCAGGUUAAUUUAUACUUCUAAAACAAGUAUAAAUUCACUCCAUUUCUUGAAGACUGUUAAUAGUUUUCUUCUUCUGCUUCUUUCAGACAUGUACUCAGAUUGUAAUGCCAAUCGGAUAUGGUUAUAAUGAGACAAUGUUCGAAGCAGAACCUUUUGAUAUAAAGAACUAUACCAAAGACUGUCUAGAUGUUUUUGGUAUCGUGCCUAGGCCUCAUUGGAUGACAACAGAAUUCGGUGGCCAUGUAAGCUUAUGCUACUUCUUUCUUCUUCUUCUUCUUCUUCUUCGAACUCCAGAAAAUCAGAACAUAACAGUGCUUGUAAUGAAAAUCUUUCAGGACAUAAAAACUGUACUGGGAAAUUUUGCAAGCAACAUCAUUUUCUCCAAUGGACUUCAAGACCCCUAUAGCAUUGGAGGGUAAAGAAACAGAUUUCUAAUCCUUUGUUGCAAGUUUUAUACUUUCAUUAAUAUUGAGAGUGCUAAUUCAUUCUUCCUUCUUUGAAAAAUCAACUGCAGAGUUCUAAAAGGCAUAUCAGAUAGUGUUGUUGCAGUGUAUACAGAACUCGGUAUUUUCUGUUCUCCUAGGAAUAUUGUCUGAAUUUCAAAGCUAUUUAUGCAAGAUUUUGAUUGACAGUUUCUGAUGGUAAACAGGAGCCCAUUGCUUGGACCUAUAUCCUCCAGCUCCAGAUGAUCCUGUCUGGUUGGUUGCACAGCGAGAUAAGGAGAUUAAAAUGAUUUCAGCUUGGAUUGCCGAGUAUUAUGCCAAGCUUGGCACCAAAUAAAGCAUUGGUUAAAGAAUUCUGCAUUUAAUAUACAUGUCUUAAGGCCAAAUUGUUCUCAGUGUAAUAACAAACUUGACAGAGAUCCUCUUGUUUGAUAUUUUAAUUAUUGCAUAUAAAAUCCAUAAAAUCAACCAAAGUCAAAGUUAAGAUAAAUUUCUGACUUGUUCAUGUAAGGACUUUUCAGUAACGUUCUUGUUUGAAAUGAAGGUUUUCUAAGCAAAAUACAGUUUUCUGGUUCUUGUCGUUUGGAUGUUCGAAAACAUCUGAAAAAGAAACCCCCCACCUUUUUUUUCCCCCCUUUUUCAAAUCCAUUCUCUUUCCAAUAUAUUUGGACUAUAUUGAUUUUUUAAUAAUAUUUUAAAGAUAAAUUUAAAUAAAAAAAUAAAAUUUAAUAUUUUUUAUCCAUAUUGUAUGACUUAGAGACAAUUUUAAUCAUUUUGUUGUUUUGUUAUAAUAUAUAUAUAUAUAUAUAUAUAUAUAUAUAUAUAUAUAUAUAUAUAUUUAUUUAUUUAUUUAUUUAUUAAAGUUCAUUUAAUAUUCAUUAGAUAUAAAAAAUACUCUCUUCAUCCUAUUUAAUUUUAUUUUAUUUCUAAAAAAAUAUCUCAUUAAUUAUUAUUUUUCUAAAUAAGUAUUUAAAAUAUUUUUUAAUAAUUAAUAAAAUUUAAUGUCUUUAAAAUAAUAUAAUUAGAAAGUUAUAUAUAUAUAUAUAUAAAAUAUUUUUUACCAUUUGUAUUUUUCAACGCAGAAGAUGUUUGAAAAAAUAAAACCUUUUCUUUCCUCUUAAAUAAUAAUAAUAAAUCUUAUUUUAUUGUAUUUCAUUCUAAGUAGAGUGAGUAAUAAAAAAACAAAUACACUUCAAUAAAAAAAAUUACUUUAACUAUAUAAACAAAAAGAGACAAGAAAAAUACAUGAAUUGUCGAAUUAAUCAAGAGAUUUUUUGGUAUAAAUUUAAAUGAGGUUUCACAUAAUUUUUACAGUUGUGUUUGGAUUUCUCCCUAAUUAGAAUUUAAAUUUGAUAUUAAUUGAUUAGAUUUCGUAAAAAAUUUUAAUCAAUAUUUUUUUGUUAAAACAAUAUAAAAGAAACGAGAGUAUAAAAUUUAAAAAAUUUUAUUGUAAUAUUCAAAAGAUUAAAUUUCAAAUAGUUAAGAAAAGAGCAUUUAUAAUAAAAAAAACUUAACACGUAAACUUAUAAAAGUAAUUAAAAAAAUAAUUAAAAUGUAAAAUUCACUCUCUAAAUAGUGUAAUUUUCAGCUCGAAUUUUGUGAUUUCGUUAAAUAAUUAAAAAAAUAAUUAAAAUAUAAAAUUUACUCUCUAAAUGGUAUAAUUUUCGGCUCGAACUUGUGAUUUCGUUACACUUUUAAAAGUCGUAGCAUCUCAAAAUUUUUUUUUCGAAAAGUUACCUUGAGUCUUCGUUUAACGUCGACAAUAAAAAUUAGGUUUAGCUCAAAUUUGCCAUAAAAUUCAAAACUAAUUACUACAUGAAAUCUUGACUCUUUCCUUGCAGUAAUAAUAGUCCUUAAUCAAACUUCAGCCUAGAGAUGUCAUUGAAUUACGUUCAACUAUAUAUUUUCAAGCAACACUAUUUUCAUCACAGUACGUAAAUACUGAUGGAUGAAAAUAUUCAAAACUUGUGGAAACUCUAUGUGUCUGAUAUACCUUGUAAUUGAGUGUCUGAACUAUAUAGUAGGCUACAAGAUUCUGAUUAAGAUUGGGUGUAUCAUCAGGUUCUCGCUGUUUGGAUCCACAAUAUAAUGUUGAUUCAAAGCAAUAACGACUAUAAUUAAUUAAUUUACAUUUAUUUUGAGUUUUUAUAAUCUAAAUAGGACAAAAUCAAUGUUAAUUAUCAUAAAUUAGCCGGCUAUCAAUAAUUUUAAGUCUUGACAAGAAGCUAUAAUCCAAACAGAUCCUAAGACAACAUGAGACUUUAAGCCAACAAAUAUUUAAACAUGAUAGUUUGAGAGCAGAAGAUUCAUAGCUUAAACUGGCAAUGGCUCCAUUUCAUCUAUGGCUUACAUUGCUACUGCUUGGAUCAGUUUGUGCAUCUGCAGUGCAUCCUAGGAAAUUAAAAAGAUUUGGUGGGGUAAGAAGAUUCACAGCUACCAGUGAGCCUUCUUCUGAUCUCCCACCAGAAUAUGAAAUACAUUAUUACACACAAACACUCGAUCAUUUCAACUACUAUCCAGACAGUUAUGCUACGUUUCAGCACAGAUAUAUAUUGAAUUACAAGUACUGGGGUGGAGCUAAUACUAGCUCACCCAUCUUUGUUUACACUGGUGAAGAAGUUGAUGUAACUUACGAUGUUGAGACUUUUAUUAUUGAUCUUGCAGCUCGUUUUAAAGGUUUACUAUUGUACAUAGAGGUAAUUUUUCUCGUGUUGGAACCAGGUCUAGGAAAAUUUUCUCCUUUUCGACAUCUCGUGUAGUAAUUUUUCUGAUGCCUGAUUACUUGUUGCAGCAUCGCUACUAUGGAGAAUCAAUGCCUUUUGGAUCUGAAGAGCAGGCAUUUCAAAAUGCCAGUACUCUUGGAUACCUAAGCUCAGAACAAGCUUUAGCAGAUUAUGCACAGGUGAUUGUAGAUGUUAAGAAGAAUCUGUCAGCAGAAAAUUGCCCAGCUAUAGCAGUUGGAGCAU